RNAcentral lists this ribosomal RNA (539 nucleotides) under uncultured bacterium. Its description in RNAcentral is "bacterial SSU rRNA". It matches the Rfam family "Bacterial small subunit ribosomal RNA", at positions 970 to 1509 of the family's 1533-position model. The record is from RNAcentral.
UUAACCUGGCCUUGACAUACUAAGAACUUCCAGAGAUGGAUUGGUGCCUUCGGGAACUUAGAUACAGGUGCUGCAUGGCUGUCGUCAGCUCGUGUCGUGAGAUGUUGGGUUAAGUCCCGCAACGAGCGCAACCCUUUUCCUUAUUUGCCAGCGGGUUAAGCCGGGAACUUUAAGGAUACUGCCAGUGACAAACUGGAGGAAGGCGGGGACGACGUCAAGUCAUCAUGGCCCUUACGGCCAGGGCUACACACGUGCUACAAUGGUCGGUACAAAGGGUUGCUACCUCGCGAGAGGAUGCUAAUCUCAAAAAGCCGAUCGUAGUCCGGAUCGCAGUCUGCAACUCGACUGCGUGAAGUCGGAAUCGCUAGUAAUCGCGGAUCAGAAUGCCGCGGUGAAUACGUUCCCGGGCCUUGUACACACCGCCCGUCACACCAUGGGAGUUUGUUGCACCAGAAGUAGGUAGUCUAACCGCAAGGAGGACGCUUACCACGGUGUGGCCGAUGACUGGGGUGAAGUCGUAACAAGGUAAGCGUAGAUGA